GGAAAUUGAAAAGGGUAUAGUUGCCCUAUGAAAUCAUAAGAAAGUGCCUACCAGCUUAAGCUAAUAAAGCAAAAUGAUUAGAAGAAAGAAAAGAUCCAACAAAGGAAAAGAAUGCAUAAAAAUUUAUGCACAAAAAAAGAAAAAAAAUGAGGGAGAGGAGAAGAAAGAGUGGUGAAAAGAAAGUGAGUAAAGUAAGAAAUACUUAGUAGGAAAUAAUGCAAUACAAGAAGUGGC
This 234-nucleotide long non-coding RNA is filed under the name Capsicum annuum. RNAcentral's name for it is "long non-coding RNA (CANN_LNC007043)". The record is from RNAcentral. Lineage: Eukaryota; Viridiplantae; Streptophyta; Magnoliopsida; Solanales; Solanaceae.